Molecule: long non-coding RNA, 2243 nt
Organism: Arvicola amphibius (Eurasian water vole)
Lineage: Eukaryota; Metazoa; Chordata; Mammalia; Rodentia; Cricetidae
Exons: 6
Source: RefSeq, a predicted model, not a curated record
CAAAUUGUCCCUGUAACCAGAGCAGAUGUGCUCCUGACCAGCUAAGCAGAAAACCACCCAAUCCCUGUGCAGGGAAACAAACCAAUCCCUGAUGAGAAAUCUAGCCAAUCCAAGCUGAAGGGAUUGAAAUCUGACCAAUUCCCACCCUGAAAACCUUCUCUCUGGAAAAACUCCACCCCAGGGAAACCCUAUAUAAGCCCUGUGCCUGUUGAGUUUUUCAGCUGCUCUUCUUUCACCCUGGCAGGGGCAGCAGCUCUCCUGGAUUCUUCCCUCCCAGUAAAUCUCUUGAAGGAGGUUUGGGUGAAGACCUUCUUUCUCCAGAGGACAGGAGCCAGAGACAGAGGACUGGAGCAGGACUGUAACACUUUGGCUGGGAAACCUUCCCCUAGCAGAGCAGAGCUGUUAAACUCAGGAGCACUGGACCCAAAGUUACUUUAGAGUGAUAUCAUCCUUGUUUUGUGGCAGCUGAGACAGUGGAGGUGACUCACUGUGGUUGUGCAGCUAAGAACACGAGAGGUGGUAGAAGAAAAUAUGUCUAUUGAAUAUACUUGUACCGGACAAUAACAAGAGUACCACAGCUGACAGCGUGAAGUUUGUCUUUGAUCCAGGUGGUGGUGGUUCUCACCUUUAAUCCCAGCACUCAGGAGGCAGACAGGUGGAUCUCUAAUGUGCUCCAGGCCAGAGAUUUUGACCUGUGAAUCACCUGUUAUAACACUAAAAACCACAACCACAGAAUGGAGAAACUAGGCCUUGGCUUGGAUGAUGAGGGCAACAACCAGCACGCAACAGCCCCACAGAGCCCAGUAGACUCACUCCUGAGCAUCCACGCUGCAAACAGGUUCUGGUAAAGGCCUGCCUGUGCCUCAACACCAAGUGUUCCUGCCCGAAGAUGAAGACGAUGCAGGACACCAAAGGCUGCAAACAGGAACCCAAUGGUGGACACCUCAUCUGCAGGCAGCUUUUUGCCCUCUGCUGGUACCAUGCCAAGCACUGCCAGGGGAAGGAUUGCCUGGUGCUAUCAUCUUCAAUCAAAAACUUCAACAGCCACAGGUGCAGCAGCGGCUCCUAGCAGUUCAUUGCGGUGCAGGAGGAUGGCCAGCAUGGAAGGGAUUGAUGUGGCAAACAGCAGCAGGACCUGCCGCCCCCAACUCCUGCUAUGCCAACCACCCCCACUGAUCAACAGCCAGCCACCUCACAGACACCUCAGGACUCACACUACUGGCCUUGUGUCCUAGGGUAAUGUAGCAGGCCAUGUGAUCCAUCAACCCUACCUCAGAGUGCUCAGCCCUCACUGGCAGGGCCUCCCCAUGGAGCAUCAAAAAUGUAAAAAAAAAGAAAAAGAAGAAAAUAGAGGAGCAUCUUUUUUUCUUCUUAUUUUCUUUUUUAGGGCUUAUCAUGUUUAAUUUGCUCAGGUUGGGAGCCAGAGGAAUUGUGUCAGAGAUGGUUCCUCUCCAUGGCCACCAUGCACACAAGCUGGGGAUCACUUUGGCCUCCGUUGGUGUUUUCUGUAAGGUUCUUCUGGGCAAGAGCAGUAGGCUUGAUGAGAUACCGAGGACCUGCCGUGUUUCAGAGCAGAUCCAGCAGAGACUGAUACAUUAAAGCAUCCAGAGGAGGUCUCAACUGUGGUUGCUUUGCUCCCCUGGGUCUUCUGGAUCCAGAGUGGCUUGUGCCUCUUUGUCAGCCUUGAGUUCUACCUGAGUUUGAACAACUAAUUGUUCCACGCGGCAGGUGUUCCUCGCCACUGUGUCUUCUUGUCCUGAGAGCUUUGCUGCUGCAGGCAAGGACAGGAGGACUCUCCCUGGCAGUGAAGCCUUUUCCUAGAGCAGGGCUGUGAGCUGCUACGUUUCCUGUGACCUGUGCUAUUCCGUGGCUCCCAACUGUUGGAAUACUCUUCUCCCAAGCUGUGAUGCUGGGUAUAUCCUGGCCCCCCGACUGCCAGGAUACUUUACCAUCCAUUCCUUGGCUUGCAACUGCCAGGAUCCCUUUCCGUCUGAGCUGUGAUACUUUCUUACACCUGGUUGUGGUCGAGGGAGUUGAAUUUGGCAUCAUGGAGAUAUAGCAGGAAACAGGCCUUUCAGUGUCAAGAGAAGACUUGUUCAACUCUCCUGACCAAAGCAAAAAGCCCUGGAAAAAGGUGAACAUGGGAGAGGCAGAAGACUGUGAACAAGGUUUGGGCAUCCGUCCUUUGACCUUGAACUCCCCACCAACCACCUCUGGAGUCUCCUUGCCUCAGCAGCACUGCC